Long non-coding RNA from Notolabrus celidotus (New Zealand spotty), 454 nucleotides. RefSeq lists it as uncharacterized. The transcript has 2 exons. The record is from RefSeq and is a predicted model, not a curated record. NCBI's taxonomy places the organism in Eukaryota, Metazoa, Chordata, Actinopteri, Labriformes, Labridae.
CACAUGUGGCGCCAUCUCUCCUGUCCUGUGUGGAGCUUAUCGCCUUAAAGAGGCUGCUGUGUGUGCAGAGACACCAAAGACACUGCAAGGCUGUGUUGGAAACAAACGGUACGAUUGAAUAAGAGCUUCAACACAAAGAGUCCUACAUGUCCUGUGGAGUAAUUCAACAUUAACAUCCCCAUCUAAAGGCUGUGCCAGGACUUACAGGGGGGAGGAAGAAUCAGCUGCCGCCACUUGAAGGGAAAACUUAUCUUGAGAUAUAAUUCACAUGUCUGUUUAAUAAUGUACAGCUCUGUGUCCAUUAGUGGGAUUGAUAGUCCCACUUUGAACACUGUAAUGAUAAUUGAUUAUCUACCUUCAUGGACAGAAAGGAGAACAUUACAGUCUACUGUAAUGCUGUGAAGUGAACUUUCAUUCUGCAAUAAUCAAAUAAUAAAAACUGCUAAAUGGUUAA